GGAGUUAGCCGGUGCUUCUUCUGCGAGUAACGUCACAGAUGUAAGGUAUUAACUUACACCCUUUCCUCCUCGCUGAAAGUGCUUUACAACCCGAAGGCCUUCUUCACACACGCGGCAUGGCUGCAUCAGGGUUUCCCCCAUUGUGCAAUAUUCCCCACUGCUGCCUCCCGUAGGAGUCUGGGCCGUGUCUCAGUCCCAGUGUGGCUGAUCAUCCUCUCAGACCAGCUAGGGAUCGUCGCCUAGGUGAGCCUUUACCUCACCUACUAGCUAAUCCCACCUGGGCUUAUCCAUCAGCGCAAGGCCCGAAGGUCCCCUGCUUUCCCCCGUAGGGAGUAUGCGGUAUUAGCAGUCGUUUCCAACUGUUAUCCCCCACAAAUGGGCAAAUUCCCAGGCAUUACUCACCCGUCCGCCGCUCGUCAUCUUCAAAAGCAAGCUUUUGAAAUGUUACCGCUCGACUUGCAUGUGUUAGGCCUGCCGCCAGCGUUCAAUCUGAGCCAGGAUCAAACUCUGA
This 511-nucleotide ribosomal RNA is filed under the name uncultured bacterium. Its description in RNAcentral is "partial 16S ribosomal RNA". The record is from RNAcentral.